This is a non-coding RNA of Chelonoidis abingdonii (Abingdon island giant tortoise), 2145 nucleotides long. Lineage: Eukaryota; Metazoa; Chordata; Testudines; Testudinidae. The record is from RefSeq and is a predicted model, not a curated record.
UCUUGUGUUCAAGAAGGAUAGUAUGGACCGAGUUAAAACUUUUCAGCACUUCCACGACAGAAUUGCUUUCCUUUUUGAUUUCUUGCAUGUAAGUUUGCAAUACACUCAUGAGUGUAUUCCAUGUGCCAGAGAGUGGUCCGAAGGAAAGGAUGUUCUCCGAUCUCCUGAAGGAGCAAUGUGCCUUCACCAUAAAUCAGAUUUGAAGAGAUUAACACCCUCUUUUGUUUUCUGCCUUUCAAGCCUCACCAAGCUGAUUAUCAGUAUCCUUUUAUGUCACAUAAAAAUCAAUAUCUGAUCCAUCCAGUGUUUUCUGGUGUAAGAGAGGAUAGAGAACACUUGGAGAAAGACAUUCAUUUUUAUCCAAGAGACUCAGCCAAACAUAGAUCAUGGUAAGUUAUGCCACUUCUGAAGUAUAAAGAAGAGUGAGUGCAGAUACAGAAUCUUAGUAUUUAUUGCUGUCAUCAGGUUUAAGGUAAUUUUUGUCUGAUGGGUGGCCAAAUCACAGUUCCACAUGCAGUGGAUGUGUUUGGUUUUGGAGACCUGUCUUCCUUAUCUGCUCCGACUACUUCAGAGCUGUGGGUCUGAUACCAAAUUCAGCAGGACUGGCUGUCUCAGUGCUCGGUUUAGAAAGCUAUUUCUGCAAAUUAAUUAUUUGAGGAGCCACAAAUUAAUGCUUGAAAUCAAGACCUUAAAAGGAUUUAGCUAAGAGCUUAAGGGCACACUGUUUUACUUCAGUGUGGUAUCACAUGACCCUCCUUUUUUUUUUUUUUGGUAACAAUCAGAAACAGAUUUAAGUUAUAAAGCAUUUAAAAAACAAAGUCAAUGAAGUAAUGGCUUGGUUCUUGUGAUGCAUCUGUCACAAUCUAAAUGUUUAUACAUUUAAGUGUUACAAUUAGAGCUGUUUAUAGUAGGUUUAUGUGACACAGGUGUGAAAGCAGAAAUACUCAAAGAUGAUGAUUUUUAACAUUUCUUUAAACCUCACACAAACGCUGAUCUUGCCAUAGAGCAUUACAUUGGGUGACCAGUGCUGAGGAGUAGCUAUUAAAAUCCAUUAGUGGCAUUAGCUUACCUUGGAUCCCCUUUGCCUGUAAAGAAAUUCCACCUUAUGUUUCCACCUAGGAUUUGGAAAGAGUGCUCUGUUUGGUAGAUAAUGUUUCUGGAGUUUAGCCACAGAGUGUCUUCCUGGCUGGUGGGGACUAUUACAGAUAAAGACCAGCCUUUCUCACUGGUGGAGCAAAUCUGCCUGGGCAGCUAGUGCUACUAAAUGCAAUCUAUGGAGCAGUCUCUAAAUGCAACCAACAGCUGUUGAAAAAUGAGACUAAUCACUUGGGUGGCCUGCUCACGGCACUUUAGUUCUAGACUAAUAAUGGUCUAAACUAGUCUUUCUAGAAGAAAAAGAUGCUUAACCUCUUUGAGGUAGCAGAUCUGGAGCUGCAGCUUUAAAAUAUAAAACACAUUAGUGCAAUAUGUUAGGAAAUACUACCUCCUUAACCAAAAGAGAAAAAAUAUAGUGUUUUAAGGUUUAAAAAAAUAAUCUGAAGUUUAAACAUUUUGCAGUUCUUGUUGAGGUUUAAAUCAGUGUUACACUCAUUUUCCAAGUUUGUACCCCUGAGUCAGAUAUUGAAUAAACAUUGUACAGUAGGUACAGAAACUAGUGUUCUGGUUAUCAAACAACAAACAUGAAUAGCCAUUGUUUAAAGUGUUAAAUGAUUAUGAUAUUUUUACCCAUGGGACUUUAACUAUGCACAGAUUAAAGUGCUAAUUUAAUGUUUACAUAACAGAUUUAAUUAACUACCAAUCUAAGCAUGUAAUUUCCAACUGUUAGACUGAAAGUUUACCUACCGCCAUCACCCUCAUCUAGACAGUUUGUAAACUGAUUUGGAUUUAGUUAUUCUGAAUAUUCAUUAUAAUCACCAGUUAACAACAGAAGUAGAACACCUUUCAAAGUAACAAGAUUUAUGAGAUCACAUUGAUCUUGAAACACAACUUGAAAGCAGAGUUCUUUGACUAGGAUUACGAGAUCUAACCUCAAAACCCCUAUACCUUCGUAGUGUAAUAAUUGUGUUUCUAUAACUGAGUUUUUAGCCUGUAUUAAAAUGGAACAUUAACACUUUAACUUAAAUGUGGUAACAUUCAGCUCACACA